This 348-nucleotide ribosomal RNA is filed under the name uncultured bacterium. Its description in RNAcentral is "bacterial SSU rRNA". It matches the Rfam family "Bacterial small subunit ribosomal RNA", at positions 8 to 334 of the family's 1533-position model. The record is from RNAcentral.
AGGGUUUGAUCCUGGCUCAGGACGAACGCUGGCGGCGUGCCUAAUACAUGCAAGUCGAACGCUUCUUUCCUCCCGAGUGCUUGCACUCAAUUGGAAAGAGGAGUGGCGGACGGGUGAGUAACACGUGGGUAACCUACCCAUCAGAGGGGGAUAACACUUGGAAACAGGUGCUAAUACCGCAUAACAGUUUAUGCCGCAUGGCAUAAGAGUGAAAGGCGCUUUCGGGUGUCGCUGAUGGAUGGACCCGCGGUGCAUUAGCUAGUUGGUGAGGUAACGGCUCACCAAGGCCACGAUGCAUAGCCGACCUGAGAGGGUGAUCGGCCACACUGGGACUGAGACACGGCCCAG